RNAcentral lists this ribosomal RNA (484 nucleotides) under uncultured bacterium. RNAcentral describes it as "partial 16S ribosomal RNA". It matches the Rfam family "Bacterial small subunit ribosomal RNA", at positions 30 to 507 of the family's 1533-position model. The record is from RNAcentral.
AUUGAACGCUGGCGGCAGGCCUAACACAUGCAAGUCGAGCGGAUGAAGGGAGCUUGCUCCUGGAUUCAGCGGCGGACGGGUGAGUAAUGCCUAGGAAUCUGCCUGGUAGUGGGGGAUAACGUCCGGAAACGGGCGCUAAUACCGCAUACGUCCUGAGGGAGAAAGGGGGGGAUCUUCGAACCUCACGCUAUCAGAUGAGCCUAGGUCGGAUUAGCUAGUUGGUGGGGUAAAGGCCUACCAAGGCGACGAUCCGUAACGGGACUGAGAGGAUGAUCAGUCACACUGGAACGGAGACACGGUCCAGACUCCUACGGGAGGCAGCAGUGGGGAAUAUUGGACAAUGGGCGAAAGCCUGAUACAGCCAGGCCGCGUGUGUGAAGAAGGUCUUCGGAUUGUAAAGCACUUUAAGUUGGGAGGAAGGGCAGUAAGUUAAUACCUUGCUGUUUUGACGUUACCAACAGAAUAAGCACCGGCUAACUUCGUG